UUGACCUCAAAUCAGGUAGGACUACCCGCUGAACUUAAGCAUA
This 43-nucleotide ribosomal RNA is filed under the name Candida albicans. RNAcentral's name for it is "partial 28S ribosomal RNA". RNAcentral also lists the same sequence under 23 other names. Lineage: Eukaryota; Fungi; Ascomycota; Pichiomycetes; Serinales; Debaryomycetaceae. The record is from RNAcentral.